UACGUAGGGGGCCAGCGUUGCUCGGAAUUACUGGGCGUAAAGGGUCCGUAGGCGGUGUGGUAAGUCGGGAGUGAAAUCUCUGGGCUUAACCCAGAGGCUGCUUCCGAAACUGCCGUGCUAGAGUGUGAGAGAGGCGAGUGGAAUUACGGGUGUAGCGGUGAAAUGCGUAGAUAUCGGGAGGAACACCUGUGGCGAAAGCGGCGCACUGGACCACAUCUGACGCUGAGGCGCGAAAGCUAGGGGAGCAAACAGG
RNAcentral lists this ribosomal RNA (253 nucleotides) under uncultured bacterium. Its description in RNAcentral is "partial 16S ribosomal RNA". It matches the Rfam family "Bacterial small subunit ribosomal RNA", at positions 524 to 776 of the family's 1533-position model. The record is from RNAcentral.